GAUGAACGCUGGCGGCGUGCCUAAUACAUGCAAGUCGAGCGAACAGACGAGGAGCUUGCUCCUCUGACGUUAGCCGCGGACGGGUGAGUAACACGUGGAUAACCUCCCUAUCAGACUGGUAUAACUUCGGAACACCGGCGCUAAUCCCGGAUAAUAUAUUGAACCGCAUGGUUCAAUAGUGAAAGACGGUUUUGCUGUCACUUAUAGAUGGAUCCGCGCGGCAUUGUCUAGUUGGUAAGGUACCGGCUUACCAAGGCGACGAUGCGUAGCCGACCUGUGAGGGGGAUCGGCCACACGGGAACGGGGACACGGACAAGACUACUAAGGGAGGGAGCAGUAGGGAAUCUGCCGCAAUGGGGGAAAGCAUGACGGAGUAACGGGGCGUGAGUGAUGAAGGUCUUGGGAGCGGGAAACUGUGUUAUGAGGGAAGAACAAAUGUGGAAGGAACUAAGCACUGCGUGACGGUAACUAAUCAGAAAGCCACGGCUAACUACGUG
This 497-nucleotide ribosomal RNA is filed under the name uncultured bacterium. RNAcentral's name for it is "partial 16S ribosomal RNA". It matches the Rfam family "Bacterial small subunit ribosomal RNA", at positions 28 to 507 of the family's 1533-position model. The record is from RNAcentral.